GUUUAUAUAGUUUAUAAAAACGUUACAUUUUCAUUGUAAAAUUAGAUCUAAUCUUAAUCUUAUAAAUA
This 68-nucleotide transfer RNA is filed under the name Anthonomus grandis (boll weevil). RNAcentral's name for it is "tRNA-Glu". Lineage: Eukaryota; Metazoa; Arthropoda; Insecta; Coleoptera; Curculionidae. The record is from RNAcentral.